GAGGGUAUAGCUCAGUGGUAGAGUGUGGUGUUUAGCAUGCAUGAGGUCCUGGGUUCAAUCCCCAGUCCCUCCA
This 73-nucleotide transfer RNA is filed under the name Camelus bactrianus (Bactrian camel). It matches the Rfam family "tRNA". Rfam says of the family: Transfer RNA (tRNA) molecules are approximately 80 nucleotides in length. Their secondary structure includes four short double-helical elements and three loops (D, anti-codon, and T loops). Lineage: Eukaryota; Metazoa; Chordata; Mammalia; Artiodactyla; Camelidae. RNAcentral also lists the same sequence under 3 other names. The record is from Rfam by way of RNAcentral.